This 253-nucleotide ribosomal RNA is filed under the name uncultured bacterium. RNAcentral's name for it is "partial 16S ribosomal RNA". It matches the Rfam family "Bacterial small subunit ribosomal RNA", at positions 524 to 776 of the family's 1533-position model. The record is from RNAcentral.
UACGUAGGGGGCAAGCGUUGUCCGGAUUUAUUGGGCGUAAAGAGCGUGUAGGCGGUUUGGUAGGUCCGCUGUGAAAACUCGAGGCUCAACUUCGAGACGCCGGUGGAAACCAUCAGACUAGAGUCCGGAAGAGGAGAGUGGAAUUCCUGGUGUAGCGGUGAAAUGCGCAGAUAUCAGGAAGGACACCGGUGGCUAAGGCGGCUCUCUAGUACGGUACUGACGCUGAGACGCGAAAGCGUGGGGAGCGAACAGG